Molecule: long non-coding RNA, 2291 nt
Organism: Schistocerca americana (American grasshopper)
Lineage: Eukaryota; Metazoa; Arthropoda; Insecta; Orthoptera; Acrididae
Exons: 4
Source: RefSeq, a predicted model, not a curated record
UCACGUGGUGCCAUGGCGGGGUGUAUGUUAUUGUUAUUUGAUCAAAGCUGACGCAGUCGGGUUGUGCUGUGGGCCACCAUUUCUGCCAGCAGAUGACAUUUAGUGGCUCCAAGAUUGCUGCCUCACUGUGGUGCAGGAACCUCAUUCCCAACACAACUAUCAGCUUCAGUGACAAGGAGAUUUAUGCUGCUGCCAUUGGAAUGAAUACAGUGUUGUCAGAUUCUUCUGUGUAUCGUAAAGCAUUUGUAUGCUCACACAAAUUGGUGUUCCUUGACAUUGUGCCCUGUGCAGUUAAUUUCCCCGUCAUACCUAAAGACAUAUUUUCGAGAGAUGAAGCCAGUGGAAUGGUAACUAGGAAGCUGAGCACUGUUGUAUUCAUCUGUCACAUCAGCCAAUUUGAACAGUGAUCUCUACCAUCAAGUUCCCUUUUGAGUGUCUUCAGCGUGUUCUACUACUGGUGCUAAUGAAAAUAGUAUGUGUGUGAAGAAUCUGUGAGUGAGUUCACAUGAAAGUGAAACUGGACACUAUUACAGAAGUGUCACAGACAGUAGCAGAAACUGUGUCCAAGAAAACUGAAGUGACUAGAUAGAAGAUUCUUGCCAAACCUCUUACGUGAUGGAUGAUACCUGGAAUAUGAAAUACAGGAGCUGCGCGCUGCCCCACUUCCACGAGAAUAUCACCACCAAAAUAUGUGGCGUGGCUGAUGGAGAACAUUUUACACUGUACUGCGAGGCCACCCUGAAGUGCUAGACACCAGUUCUGGCCUGAUGAUAUAGCUGUGCAGUGGGAACAGUGUGGAUAGAGACGGUACCCUCAGCAUCACUUCACAGCUUCAAGUGCCAUCAAAGGACCUGUGCUGAUGGACACCAGAAAAGCCGUUUCUUCCAUUCCGUGUUACGCUGCUGGGUGCGACAGUGGGACUGGUACAAUAAUGAAAACAACCUUCUGCGGAUGAGCAUUGCUGAGUCUAUCAGAAUUUCUUCUGUUAGUAUGCGGUCACCACCAGGUCACACUCUGUUGCUAGGUGUACUGGACAUUCCAGACUUCUCGGCAUCUCGGAUUGAUCCUUGUCAUCGUGAUGUCACUGGGUCACGUCCCAGCCUGUGUACUUCUUAUCACAAGGCAGUGGAUGUUUGACACUAAAGAUGGCACUUCAGCUUCCUUACUGAGAGGAAAUUAGUGACAGGCAGAUGGAUCCUGACCAAAGCCCUAAAGUAUCCGUAGCUACAGUUCUUCAGUUUAAUAUUUGGCAUCAGUUUUAUGGGGAAAAAUGGCAUUCCACUGGGAGCUGCUUUUCAGUUUUAAAAGUGAUAGAAAAUGUUGCAGGCACUACAGAAAAUAUGAAUCUUCACCUGUGUGUUCACUCAGUUGCCAUGUACUUUUUAGGACCGUAGUAAUAGUGUCACUCAGUUAAUGGAAUACAUUAUUAAAUUAUGUGUAUAGUGCUAAAUGAAAUGAACAGUAUUAAGGACGACAAUGACAACAACAACAGGCAUAAUAGAUCAGUCAGUGAAGAGUAAAUUGAUAAUUAUUUCUUCAUCCCAUCAGACAAGUUAAUUGUCGAUCAAUGUAUUUAUAGAAGUGUCUUGCUUAACAUUUGAAGUGAGUUUGAUAGGACGAAAACUGUAUUAAAUAGUUAAUUUUUGGCAUACACUUUUGUUGCUGCAACAGUAUAUGUUUCAAGAAAUGAGUGAAACCUAAAUUACAUAACCUAACUAUCCAUUUGAUGGAAUUGUGUGCAUUUUAUGUAAAGUGCACCAGUGUGUCAUUUCUUUAAUAUUGUGUUUUGAUAUUUCUUACUUUAUCAAUUUCUAUCCUGAAUUUGCAUGCAGCAUUGUGUAACACUUUUUUGUAAUUCAGAUGUCAGUCAUUACUGGUAAAGAAUUCACAGGUUGUUUGUAUUUAGUAUUUUGUUUAAAUGGUACUAUUUCUUGAGCUUUAAUAUGUCAGUUUCAUUACAAUAAUAGCGUGAAAGGAAAGUUUUGCAGAUGUAGAGAAGGUACUGCAAGGAGGUCCAUUCUGGAUUUUCCAUUGUUUGAUUUCAUUAUAAUAACUAUUUGAAAAUCGCACUCAUUUGCUGGCUUGCAGUAUAUGUAACAUAAGUAAAAUGUGUAUAUUGAUUGAUUUUACAUUUAUCUGCCAAACAUUCUCAUCAUUUUGUUACUACCUUCAUACCAAAUAAAUCAUUGAUUGUAUAUACUUAUUGAUCUCUUUUUACAUUUGUGUUGCCUAUUACUGUUAGAAAUAGACAUCCCCCAUGUAUGUUCACAGUGUUACCCAAUGAUGAUGUA